AUGAUAGAGUUGGUCAUGCCUCUGGUAUGUACUGGUCUCACUGCAUUCCUCCUUCCUGAUGAACCGUAAUGCCAUUAAUUUGGUGUUGCGGGGAAUUUGGACUGUUACUUUGAAAAAAUUAGAGUGUUUAAAGCAAGCUAACGCUUGAAUACAUUAGCAUGGAAUAAUGAAAUAGGACGUUCGAUCCUAUUUUGUUGGUUUCAGGAUUGACCUAUGAUUAAUACGGGAGUGG
RNAcentral lists this ribosomal RNA (232 nucleotides) under uncultured Glomeromycotina. RNAcentral's name for it is "partial 18S ribosomal RNA". The stretch from base 26 to 232 matches the Rfam family "Eukaryotic small subunit ribosomal RNA", at positions 673 to 883 of the family's 1831-position model. Lineage: Eukaryota; Fungi; Glomeromycota. The record is from RNAcentral.